RNAcentral lists this ribosomal RNA (450 nucleotides) under uncultured Sphingomonadaceae bacterium. RNAcentral's name for it is "bacterial SSU rRNA". It matches the Rfam family "Bacterial small subunit ribosomal RNA", at positions 339 to 806 of the family's 1533-position model. The record is from RNAcentral. Lineage: Bacteria; Pseudomonadati; Pseudomonadota; Alphaproteobacteria; Sphingomonadales; Sphingomonadaceae.
CUACGGGAGGCAGCAGUGGGGAAUAUUGGACAAUGGGCGAAAGCCUGAUCCAGCAAUGCCGCGUGAGUGAUGAAGGCCUUAGGGUUGUAAAGCUCUUUUACCCGGGAUGAUAAUGACAGUACCGGGAGAAUAAGCCCCGGCUAACUCCGUGCCAGCAGCCGCGGUAAUACGGAGGGGGCUAGCGUUGUUCGGAAAUACUGGGCGUAAAGCGAACGUAGGCGGCUUGGCAAGUCAGGGGUGAAAUCCCGGAGCUCAACUCCGGAACUGCCUUUGAAACUGCCUCGCUUGAAUCCUGGAGAGGCGAGUGGAAUUCCGAGUGUAGAGGUGAAAUUCGUAGAUAUUCGGAAGAACACCAGUGGCGAAGGCGACUCGCUGGACAGGUAUUGACGCUGAGGUUCGAAAGCGUGGGGAGCAAACAGGAUUAGAUACCCUGGUAGUCCACGCCGUAAA